AAAGACAAAGGCAAACCCAGCUAAAGCUGGGGACGCAAAGCCACGGAUCUUACACGUAAGGGUGAUGAUGGCCGGGCUGCCUACU
This 85-nucleotide non-coding RNA is filed under the name Desulfosporosinus orientis. Its description in RNAcentral is "c-di-GMP sequence". It matches the Rfam family "c-di-GMP-I-GGC riboswitch aptamer". RNAcentral also lists the same sequence under 1 other name. Lineage: Bacteria; Bacillati; Bacillota; Clostridia; Eubacteriales; Desulfitobacteriaceae. The record is from RNAcentral.